AUUGAACGCUGGCGGCAUGCUUUACACAUGCAAGUCGAACGGCAGCGCGGGCUUCGGCCUGGCGGCGAGUGGCGAACGGGUGAGUAAUACAUCGGAACGUGCCCAGUAGUGGGGGAUAGCUCGGCGAAAGCCGGAUUAAUACCGCAUACGACCUGGGGGUGAAAGCGGGGGAUCUUCGGACCUCGCGCUAUUGGAGCGGCCGAUGGCAGAUUAGCUAGUUGGUGGGGUAAAGGCCUACCAAGGCGACGAUCUGUAGCUGGUCUGAGAGGACGACCAGCCACACUGGGACUGAGGCACGGCCCAGACUCCUGCGGGAGGCAGCAGUGGGGAAUUUUGGACAAUGGGCGAAAGCCUGAUCCAGCAAUGCCGCGUGUGUGAUGAAGGCCUUCGGGUUGUAAAGCACUUUUGGCGGGAACGAAAAGGACUGUGCCAAUACCACGGUUCGAUGACGGUACCCGCAGAAUAAGCACCGGCUAACUACGUG
RNAcentral lists this ribosomal RNA (484 nucleotides) under uncultured bacterium. Its description in RNAcentral is "partial 16S ribosomal RNA". It matches the Rfam family "Bacterial small subunit ribosomal RNA", at positions 29 to 507 of the family's 1533-position model. The record is from RNAcentral.